CGCGUAGGCGGCCACUGCAAGUCGGUUGUGAAAUCUCCGGGCUUAACCCGGAAAGGUCAAUCGAUACUGCAGGGCUAGAGUGCAGAAGGGGCAACUGGAAUUCUCGGUGUAGCGGUGAAAUGCGUAGAUAUCGAGAGGAACACCUGCGGCGAAGGCGGGUUGCUGGGCUGACACUGACGCUGAAGCGCGAAAGCUAGGGAGCGAACG
RNAcentral lists this ribosomal RNA (207 nucleotides) under uncultured bacterium. RNAcentral's name for it is "partial 16S ribosomal RNA". It matches the Rfam family "Bacterial small subunit ribosomal RNA", at positions 568 to 774 of the family's 1533-position model. The record is from RNAcentral.